GGCUUAUUUUCAUAUAAGUUUGCAUUUAUCUUGCUCCCAGGGUAAGGCCUGGGACUGGAACCUCAUCUCUCAGAGCAUGCUCAUGGUCUUAGGGGGCCACUCUUGCACCCAACCUGUGUUGAGGGAUGAUGUGAAGGGAUUAUGAUAGGGACUUUGUGAGUGGCCUGUGGGACCAGCUAGCUGGAUGCCUCUCUGACUCAUCCAUUUAGGCCAAGAAUUUCUGUAGGGCUGGUCAUGGGGUUAUCAGGAUGAGAAGGAGAGUUUUAUGGUUUGAGUGACAAAGAAAUUGAGUUAUCUCUUUGGAGCCCUUGUCAAUCUCAUCUAAAAUGAUUCUUCUAACUGAAUGGGGGGAAAGCCAAAGUACCAAAUUAGAAGAAGAACCUAUUGAGAAUCUGGCUGUAUUCUGGUAACCACUCUUCAACUCAGUUAUAUUGUAACAAAUUAUCUCAGUACAGGUUACACAAUAUAAAUAUUUUCUCACAUUUCUAGAUGCUUAAAGUUGCAGGAUCAAACUGCUGGCAGGGUUGAUUUCUCUUGAGGACUCUAAGCCAUUUUUUAACAUGGUCACCUUCUUACUGUGUGCUCACCUGUCCUCUCCUCUGUGUUUUUAGUCUUUAAAUACUUUCUUUGGUUUAAAAGGACCAAGAUUGUAUAUUCC
This 658-nucleotide long non-coding RNA is filed under the name Marmota monax (woodchuck). Lineage: Eukaryota; Metazoa; Chordata; Mammalia; Rodentia; Sciuridae. The record is from RNAcentral.